GGGUGGAGGGAGUGGUGUGUGUGUGAGUUACAGGGUGGUGGUAGAGUGUUGUGGGGGGGUGGAGGGAGCGGUGUGUGUGUGUGAGUUACAGGGUGGUGGUAGAGUGUUGUGGGGGGUGGAGGGAGCGGUGUGUGUGUGUGAGUUACAGGGUGGUGGUAGAGUGUUGUGGGGGGUGGAGGGAGUGGUGUGUGUGUGAGUUACAGGGUGGUGGUAGAGUUUUGUGGGGGGUGGAGGGAGUGGUGUGUGUGUGAGUUACAGGGUGGUGGUAGAGUUGUGGGGGGUGGAGGGAGCGUGGUGUGUGUGUGAGUUACAGGGUGGUGGUAGAG
This 326-nucleotide long non-coding RNA is filed under the name Salmo salar (Atlantic salmon). RNAcentral's name for it is "lncRNA (ENSSSAG00000111244.1)". The record is from RNAcentral. Lineage: Eukaryota; Metazoa; Chordata; Actinopteri; Salmoniformes; Salmonidae.